CCUCAGAGCGAAAGACCGUGUGGGGUCUGAAAACGAUGUGCCGGGAGUCCGGUGUUGUCGCCGGCUUUAGUGAGCCUUGACCACCCAGUCAGCUAUUGAGCUGGUGAGUAACGGAUAUCUCAAAAAACUUCAGAGCACUUUUCCAGAAAGAGUAAUAUUAAAACUAAGUAGCUGCUGCCAUUGUCGGAAACUGGAAUUGGCUGGGCCACGCUAUGAUUUCUGGGAUAGGUUGGGCCACAAAGGAUACACCCGACCCAUCCCAGAAAUCUGGGGAAAAGGAGGACACAUUUGUCGGAUGCAUUUGGAGCAGCCUUCGUUGCCUGUCUGUGAUCCAAUCGGCCUUUAAAUACGGCCUCCGAAGGAUGCAGCCCCUGAAUUGGGACAUAGCAUAUGUAUAUAUGCUGUAUAAUCCUAACUUAAUCUACUACAUUUUAACAUACUGCUGUUACCCCUAUUCAACCAACAUACUGUAACUGUAGCAGUCAUGUCAUGAACACAAAUGGGUUUUCACAAUUAUCAAGAUAAUCUGGUGUCUUACAGAUCUGUCUGUCUAAUGGAUAGUGGGGAAGAAGUGAGUGAGGAUGAAGAAGGUGAAGAAAAAUAAACAUUCCCCUGAGAGUGAUGGGAAAGAUGACAGGAUUUCUCAUAUUGCAGCUAUUUGCAUUUUUUUGGCCUUUGUGCUUUUGAACUAUUACAGUGUAGACGAGGAAAACAUUCACUUCUUAUAAAACACAUCUCUGGUGAUGUCUUGUUGCCCUGCUUCUUUUUUUUUUUUUAAAUUAUGCAGUGCAGUAAACAUAUCUCAAUGUAAUUGUUAGAAACUAAGAUUUCAUUUUUUACUUUUUUUUUAUGACAGGUGAAUCAUAACUUGUCAGCUCCACUCUUAAGGUUUUUAUCCAGCUUUUUUACUUCACAUUUGUAGCUUCGGCUUAAGAAUCUCACUCCCAACCACUGAAUAGACAAAGGUUGUGUCCACAUGAUGGCUGAGCCUUUGGUUUGGUUUCAAUGCUCAAAUUAUUUUUCCACAACUGUAGGGUAAUAAAAACUAAACAAAAACAACAAAAACAAAAUAAUAACUUAAACACAGCAAAUACUAAAACAAAGAUGAGGUUAAAUGCUCAUUGAGAUGACACAGUAUAGCUUGUAAGGCAACCACGCAGCAUGUCAAAAAUAGUGUUCUACUAAUAAAAGUGAAUACAUAAAAC
Molecule: long non-coding RNA, 1205 nt
Organism: Astatotilapia calliptera (eastern happy)
Lineage: Eukaryota; Metazoa; Chordata; Actinopteri; Cichliformes; Cichlidae
Source: Ensembl